GACGAACGCUGGCGGCGUGCUUAACACAUGCAAGUCGAACGGAAAGGCCCUGCUUUUGUGGGGUGCUCGAGUGGCGAACGGGUGAGUAACACGUGAGUAACCUGCCCUUGACUUUGGGAUAACUUCAGGAGACUGGGGCUAAUACCGGAUAGGAGCUCCUGCUGCAUGUGGGGGGUUGGAAAAUUUCGGCGGUGGGGGCUGGACUCGCGGCUUAUCAGCUUGUUGGGGGGGUAGGGGAUUACCAAGGCUUUGACGGGUAGCCCGCAUGAGAGGGUGACCGGCCACAAUGGGACUGCGAGACGGACCAGAAGCCUACGGGAGGCAGCAGUGGGGAAUAUUGCACAAUGGGCGGAAGCCUGAGGCAGCAACGCCGCGUGCGUGAUGACGGCCUUCGGGUUGUAAACCGAUUUCGCCGGUGACGAAGCGUGAUUGACGGUAAUGGGUAAAGAAGCACCGGCUAACUACGUG
This 468-nucleotide ribosomal RNA is filed under the name uncultured bacterium. RNAcentral's name for it is "partial 16S ribosomal RNA". It matches the Rfam family "Bacterial small subunit ribosomal RNA", at positions 28 to 507 of the family's 1533-position model. The record is from RNAcentral.